CUUCCCCGCCGACUUCUGGGGCUCUCGGGACGCGGUGCCGCCCCAGAGGCGUCCUCGGCCCGCGAGUUCUGCUGGGAGCGGGGAGGCCCCGGCGUCUCAGGUGAGUCCCCGGUUCCCUAGACCGGCCGGACACCCGAAGGCCGCACUCACCUGGCGGGGGCCUCAGACGCCUGGCGGCCUCGCCCGCCUCCCUAGACGGAGGGCUCGCCCGUGUGCGGGGUCCCAGGGAGAAGAAGCUGCGGGGAAGACAGUGGGUCGCCCGGGACCAAGCCUGGCUGAAGGGACACAUUGAGCGGGGCAAAGGCAUGUGGCGCAUCAGCCGGGCUCACGAGCGUGUACCCGAGAAACCACCGCACGGAGCCCAUGGCGGAGGCCGCGGCCCAUGCUGGGAGGCAGGCCGUGCAGGUGAACCCCCAGGCCGCGCAGGUGAACCCCCAGGCCGCGCAGGUGAACCCCCAGGCCGUGCAGGUGAACCCCCAGGCCGCGCAGGUGAACCCCCAGGCCGUGCAGGUGAACCCCCAGGCCGUCCGCUUAGCCUCGCUGCGAUCUUGGGCAAAUGACUGUGGUGGCUGAGGGCAGGCGCCCCACCUGCAAAAUGCGGGGAACAGUGGCAUCUACCCCGUCGGGCUGAUUUGAGGAUGAGGUCAGCUUUUGCUGUACAAUAAGCUGUCCGUAAACGUUCGUUUUUAUGAGCCCAGGGCCUGCCGUGUGGUAGGUGUUCACUAGACGAUGUACACUCUUAAAAGCACCCACUGAGCUGGGACCAGCAGUAGAAAGUCAGCUGAAUCAUCCUCACCCCUGCUUCCUGGAGCAGCCUGGUAUCCAGUGGAUAAUGAUUUGAAGCACCCUGGAGAUGGAUGGAAAUGUUCACACCAUAAUCAAGGAAUUAUGAAGGGUGUGAGUCACCCCUAAUGGAGGUGGGAGAACAGGAGGCGUGGUGGGAGGCCCCAUCCCAACAGGCCACAUCCAUGUUCACAAGGGCUCCUGCCAAGGGCCCAUCUUGGAACCUGGAGAUCAACGUCCCACAUGGCCUUCGCUUUGCUACACUAGAUGUAACUUCACCUCCCUGCGUUCCCCUGGCAAGUGGGGUCAGCUGCUUGGGCCGUCACUCCAGGCCUGCCCACACUGCAGAAGACAGCCACCGUGUGUCCCUCCUACAGAUGGACUGGAUGCUCACCAGCCCCUGCCAGUGGAGAGACAUGAGGCC
Molecule: long non-coding RNA, 1207 nt
Filed under: Homo sapiens (human)
Lineage: Eukaryota; Metazoa; Chordata; Mammalia; Primates; Hominidae
Description: non-protein coding lnc-OR4F6-5:1
Source: RNAcentral